GACGAACGCUGGCGGUGUGCUUCACACAUGCAAGUCGAACGGGGUAGCAAUACCCAGUGGCGGACGGGUGAGUAACACGUAGGAAUCUGCCUCAGAGUGGGGAAUAACUGAUCGAAAGAUUAGCUAAUACCGCAUAUGUCGAAAGAUAAAAGGAGUAAUCCGCUUUGAGAUGAGCCUGCGUCCGAUUAGCUAGUUGGUAGGGUAAAGGCCUACCAAGGCGACGAUCGGUAGCUGGUCUGAGAGGAUGAUCAGCCACAAUGGAACUGAGACACGGUCCAUACUCCUACGGGAGGCAGCAGUGGGGAAUUUUACGCAAUGGGGGAAACCCUGACGUAGCGACACCGCGUGAGCGAAGAAGCCCUUUGGGGUGUAAAGCUCUGUCAGCAGGGACGAAUAAAUGACGGUACCUGCAGAGGAAGCAUCGGCUAACUACGUGCCAGCAGCCGCGGUAAU
Molecule: ribosomal RNA, 453 nt
Filed under: uncultured bacterium
Lineage: Bacteria
Description: bacterial SSU rRNA
Rfam family: Bacterial small subunit ribosomal RNA
Source: RNAcentral